CGGCGAAACGGUCGCCCAACGGCGACCGUCGCGCAUGACUGGCCCCCUGCGCCUGAUGAGCUGGCCACU
This 69-nucleotide non-coding RNA is filed under the name Sphingobium sp. The record is from RNAcentral. Lineage: Bacteria; Pseudomonadati; Pseudomonadota; Alphaproteobacteria; Sphingomonadales; Sphingobiaceae.